UACGGGGGGGGCAAGCGUUGUUCGGAAUGACUGGGCGUAAAGGGCGCGUAGGCGGUUUGUACAGUCAGAUGUGAAAUUCCUGGGCUCAACCUGGGGGCUGCAUUUGAUACGUAUGGACUGGAGUGAGGAAGAGGGUCGUGGAAUUCCCAGUGUAGAGGUGAAAUUCGUAGAUAUUGGGAAGAACACCGGUGGCGAAGGCGGCGACCUGGUCCUUUACUGACGCUGAGGCGCGAAAGCGUGGGGAGCAAACAGG
RNAcentral lists this ribosomal RNA (253 nucleotides) under uncultured bacterium. RNAcentral's name for it is "partial 16S ribosomal RNA". It matches the Rfam family "Bacterial small subunit ribosomal RNA", at positions 524 to 776 of the family's 1533-position model. The record is from RNAcentral.